GUAGGUGAACCUGCGGAAGGAUCAUUACCGAGUUCUGGGUGCCUCGCGCCCGCUCUCCAACCCAAUGUUUACAUCACCUCUGUUGCUUUGGCGGGCCAGCCCGAAAGGGCGGCCGGCCCCCCUCACCGGGGGCUGGCCCGCGCCCGCCGGAGGAAACCUAAACCCUUGCUGUUUUUGGUUGCGGUCUGAGUGGAUAUUUAAUAUCAUAAAACUUUCAACAACGGAUCUCUUGGUUCUG
This 238-nucleotide unclassified non-coding RNA is filed under the name rhizosphere metagenome. RNAcentral describes it as "partial ribosomal RNA internal transcribed spacer region". The record is from RNAcentral.